RNAcentral lists this ribosomal RNA (416 nucleotides) under Lactobacillus gasseri. RNAcentral's name for it is "bacterial SSU rRNA". It matches the Rfam family "Bacterial small subunit ribosomal RNA", at positions 377 to 786 of the family's 1533-position model. Lineage: Bacteria; Bacillati; Bacillota; Bacilli; Lactobacillales; Lactobacillaceae. The record is from RNAcentral.
CCCGUUCUGAUGGAGCCCGCCGCGUGAGUGAAGAAGGGUUUCGGCUCGUAAAGCUCUGUUGGUAGUGAAGAAAGAUAGAGGUAGUAACUGGCCUUUAUUUGACGGUAAUUACUUAGAAAGUCACGGCUAACUACGUGCCAGCAGCCGCGGUAAUACGUAGGUGGCAAGCGUUGUCCGGAUUUAUUGGGCGUAAAGCGAGUGCAGGCGGUUCAAUAAGUCUGAUGUGAAAGCCUUCGGCUCAACCGGAGAAUUGCAUCAGAAACUGUUGAACUUGAGUGCAAAAGAGGAGAGUGGAACUCCAUGUGUAGCGGUGGAAUGCGUAGAUAUAUGGAAGAACACCAGUGGCGAAGGCGGCUCUCUGGUCUGCAACUGACGCUGAGGCUCGAAAGCAUGGGUAGCGAACAGGAUUAGAUACC